RNAcentral lists this transfer RNA (69 nucleotides) under Triticum aestivum (bread wheat). It matches the Rfam family "tRNA". From Rfam's summary of the family: Transfer RNA (tRNA) molecules are approximately 80 nucleotides in length. Their secondary structure includes four short double-helical elements and three loops (D, anti-codon, and T loops). Further hydrogen bonds mediate the characteristic L-shaped molecular structure. tRNAs have two regions of fundamental functional importance: the anti-codon, which is responsible for specific mRNA codon recognition, and the 3' end, to which the tRNAs corresponding amino acid is attached (by aminoacyl-tRNA synthetases). tRNAs cope with the degeneracy of the genetic code in two manners: having more than one tRNA (with a specific anti-codon) for a particular amino acid; and 'wobble' base-pairing, i.e. permitting non-standard base-pairing at the 3rd anti-codon position. RNAcentral also lists the same sequence under 1 other name. The record is from Rfam by way of RNAcentral. Lineage: Eukaryota; Viridiplantae; Streptophyta; Magnoliopsida; Poales; Poaceae.
UCCACUACUCAGUUGGUAGAGUACACAGCUCUUAACCUUGUGGACGUGGGUUCAAGCCCCAUGGUGGAG